RNAcentral lists this small RNA (124 nucleotides) under Marmota monax (woodchuck). Lineage: Eukaryota; Metazoa; Chordata; Mammalia; Rodentia; Sciuridae. The record is from RNAcentral.
GCUGGACAUGGUGGCGCAUGCCUGUAAUCCUAGUGGCUUGGGAGGCUGAGGCAGGAGGAUUUCGAGUCAAAGCUAGCCUCAGCAAUGGCAAGGAGCUAAGCAACUCAGUGAGACCCUGUCUCUA